CCGGGUUUGGCGCAGUUGGUAGCGUGCUUGACUGGGGGUCAAGAGGCCGCAGGUUCAAGUCCUGUAACUCGGACCA
RNAcentral lists this transfer RNA (76 nucleotides) under Clostridia bacterium. RNAcentral describes it as "tRNA-Pro". It matches the Rfam family "tRNA". Rfam says of the family: Transfer RNA (tRNA) molecules are approximately 80 nucleotides in length. Their secondary structure includes four short double-helical elements and three loops (D, anti-codon, and T loops). Further hydrogen bonds mediate the characteristic L-shaped molecular structure. tRNAs have two regions of fundamental functional importance: the anti-codon, which is responsible for specific mRNA codon recognition, and the 3' end, to which the tRNAs corresponding amino acid is attached (by aminoacyl-tRNA synthetases). tRNAs cope with the degeneracy of the genetic code in two manners: having more than one tRNA (with a specific anti-codon) for a particular amino acid; and 'wobble' base-pairing, i.e. permitting non-standard base-pairing at the 3rd anti-codon position. The record is from RNAcentral. Lineage: Bacteria; Bacillati; Bacillota; Clostridia.